UUUAGCGAAUUUACCGAACAGUUCGUAUUCUCGCGGAAGUGAAACAAAAUGAAGAGUCGUAAGAUCCCAGAAAAAUUGAUUUGUGAAUUCGUUUUUUUAAUGCGGUGUGAAUGUGAUAACGUGUGCUUGAAUUUUGGACUUUUGGAAUGCCAUUUGAAUUUGAACGAAUGUAUCGGAAGAAGAAUUUUUCCACUCAUUAUCUGGUUUAUUUUUUCAUGUUCCAGAUUAUCAUUUUGCCUCUGCUUUUGAUGAAGAACGUAAACUUCGUAAACUUAUGAUAAGAAAGCAAUUCGACGAGCGAUGGAUCUCCUAAAGUAUCGUUGCCUUUAUGGAAUUUUAAAGUACGGCCAGGACAUGGAAUAUUCCAUUUUGAAGAUGAGCUUGAAACUAGAAUGGUAUGCAUACAUACAUAUGCAAAUGCGCUAUCAUGCAGUUAAUCUUCAUCUCAUCCUAAAGACGAGUGCACCGCGACCGACGACGCAGCGCGCACGCAAAAUAGAUAAGUAAAUGGAGCAGAUGUAAGAAUCUAAUGAAUAUGGAUGGAAAAUGAUGAUGGAAGUGGAGUCUGUGAGGAGAUCGCAUAAGAGUCGUUUGAAUCGGAGUUGGGAAUCAUUCGUCAGGCAUCGUAGUUCAACGAGGAUUUGAGGAUUAGUCAGCAGAAUACAGGUA
Long non-coding RNA from Planococcus citri (citrus mealybug), 669 nucleotides. RefSeq lists it as uncharacterized. The record is from RefSeq and is a predicted model, not a curated record. The transcript has 5 exons. NCBI's taxonomy places the organism in Eukaryota, Metazoa, Arthropoda, Insecta, Hemiptera, Pseudococcidae.